GGAAGAGAGCCAAGCAGUUCCAUGAAGCUUGGAGUAAACUUAUGGAGUGGCUAGAAGAGUCAGAAAAGUCUUUGGAUUCUGAACUGGAAAUCGCGAAUGAUCCAGACAAAAUAAAAGCACAACUUGCACAACAUAAGGAGUUUCAGAAAUCACUCGGAGCCAAGCAUUCUGUCUACGACACCACCAACAGGACUGGACGUUCUCUGAAGGAGAAAACCUCCCUGGCUGAUGACAACCUGAAACUGGAUGACAUGCUGAGUGAACUCAGAGACAAAUGGGAUACCAUAUGUGGAAAAUCUGUGGAAAGACAAAACAAAUUGGAGGAAGCCCUGUUAUUUUCUGGACAAUUCACAGAUGCCCUACAGGCUCUCAUUGAUUGGUUAUAUAGAGUUGAACCCCAGCUGGCAGAAGACCAGCCUGUUCAUGGAGACAUUGAUUUAGUGAUGAAUCUGAUCGAUAAUCACAAGGUAUUGUUAUCUGGGACAUUUUAUUUUAUCUUGUUUGAUUAUUCUGAGUGUACAAGGAAAUGUAAACCAUUUAAAUUAGCCUUUUAAAAUCAGAAGACUAUAGAUCAUACUACAUAACAGUCUUUAUUGUUGAAAUAUGUGUCCGUUUGAGCAGAACCUGGAAGCAAACUUUAAAAGUGAUGGGGAAAUAUUAUUUAGUGUCAGUGAAAUACAUUUGCUUUUAAUUACCAGAUCUAAAACCUUUUUAGAACUUGGAAAGUGAUUUCAUUCUCUGGUGCUUUAAAACAGAUUUCAAGAAUGUUUUACUAUCUUUAGUUAUGCACUUAAACAAUUAUGUAAUAAAAUUUAAAAUCAUUCAUUCAGUGACCUGACACUAAGUCAUUGCAUAAGUAUGUAGAUUUGUGACAUGAUCCAUGGUGGUCAUGACCAACUGCUUUUAAAAAUACUGAACCAAAACUGUUUUAACCUUGCCCCUUGAAUUAUAGCAAUUUAUGAGUCAGCAGCAUGUGCUAUAAUGGAUUUGAUUAUUAUUUACUUCAAGAAAACUGGCUUCCUUGAAAUCUCCUGAUAUAUAUGUAAAACUGUCAUGUCAUGUAAAUCAAAGGUAAUAUUCAAGGUGUCCAACUAAGUGUAAGGUCCGAAAUUAUGAUCAAAUGAUAUAAAGCAACUUAGCCUUGGAAACAAUAUGAAGCGUAGUACUAAUGUAGAAUAGUUGUAUCGGAGUUGACUUUAUAUAAAAAUAUCUUACAUCACUCUACUUAAAUUCAUCUUGUAUUUCUUCUCUGUAGUAUCUGAGUUCAGAAAACUUAUUCCAUUUAUAAUGUUCUCUUUAUAUUGGUUAUGCUAUCUUGAUCUUACCAUUCUUUUUAAAAGUCUUAUUGCAUAUUUAUUUUCCCUUUUUUCUUUCUAUUCUAUCAUUAUACCCAUAAGAGAAUUUGUUACACCUGAAAAGUGAAACAAACUAAAUUAAAAUAAAAUAAAAGAAUAAAUAAAAGAACAUUGGUCAGGUCUACAAAAGUUAAAAAUUUAAAAAUCACAUGGCCUUACUUAUGUUGAAAUAAAUAUUUUGUGUAUGGUUAAUACAAACUUCUCUAUUUCCUGGCAUGAGUAAUGAAUAGCGUAAUGUUACUUUUUACAUAAAUGCCAUUUCUGUAAACUCACUGUCUAAAUAUUUACUACUCUAGGUAAUUGCCAGAUCUUUUAUAUAUUAAAGGUCAUCAAGAAUGAGUUAAUCAUUUAGCAUUAGUAAUACAACUGGAAGGCUCAAGAAGUUCAAGUAUGCAAAAUGCUUUGGAAAGUCUUCUGAAAACUAUUGGACUAGUCCUAUCAUAAAUGGGAUAUUUAGAUACUGUACCAUUUGCACGUGUGUUUAUGUGUGUGUGAAUGUGUGUAUUGGUGUAUACGUGUGUGUUUGUGUCUUUCUGCAGGCACAUCUCAUUUAUAACUGUUAGAGUUGAAUCAGUCAAAUAAUCACUUUUGUGAUAGGCUCACUUUUGUGAAUGAUCUGAGUAUCAGAAUAGAAACCUAUAGAUAUGGCCAAAUGGUAAUAUUCAUUUAUGAUGAUUUUUUUAAAAACACAUUAAUUUUAUUGUGACAGAAUGUUGGUUAUUAAUGUUUGAAAGAUCUAGUUGCAUACACAGAUUCUUGGAUCAAAAAUAAAGAGCUCUGGGCUCACUUCUUAGAUCAGUCUGUGGCCAAAAUAAAUGAAUUUAAUUCCUGGCACAUCAAAGUUUGUCAAAAUUAGGCAGGAAAAAAAAAAAACAAAAA
RNAcentral lists this small RNA (2234 nucleotides) under Pongo abelii (Sumatran orangutan). RNAcentral describes it as "retained intron". Lineage: Eukaryota; Metazoa; Chordata; Mammalia; Primates; Hominidae. The record is from RNAcentral.